RNAcentral lists this long non-coding RNA (2023 nucleotides) under Oryza sativa Indica Group (long-grained rice). RNAcentral describes it as "lncRNA OsZS97_04G004330". Lineage: Eukaryota; Viridiplantae; Streptophyta; Magnoliopsida; Poales; Poaceae. The record is from RNAcentral.
AUGUGGCCUGGACAGCUUGACUCCAAUAAGCAGCGGAAGAAAUGGACUCGGCUCGACACCAACCAAAGAGGGCUCGGCCUGCAGCAGGAGAUUAAACACGCGUCGCUAUUCUGCGGGGUGUCGCACGGGUUGUGGCGAAGACCAAGGGAGUUUAGUAAGACUGCAACAGUUCGCGUAGAGAAUGGUCACAUUUCAAUUGAUAAUCUCACCACUGAGCUGCGCCGGUUGGUUCCCGUCAGAUUUGAAGUAAAGGAGACGGCACAGGAUACAUUUGUUGUUCAGUUUCCCUCUACAAUUGAAUUAGAUAGAUUGCAUAGGGUUGGCAGAGUCCGUAGCUUUGAUUUUGGUGUUGAUUUGUUAUUUAACAAAUGGGAACAGGAGAUUGAGGCAAAGUUUGUCCUGAAGAAGACAUGGUUUCGUGUCUAUGGUGUUCCAUAUGAAAUUAGGGACUUUCUUAGCCUUCAUGCUGUCGGUUCUGUCAUUGGAAAUACAACGAUGGUGGAUAUGGUUUAUCUUCGGAAACACGGGGUCGUAAGAAUGCAGGUUGCGGUGGAUGAUUUAGCAACUUUGCCGCCCAGUGUGUACAUUGUGUUCCGUAACCAUGGGUAUGAGAUUUUCUUUGAACCAGAAAUGCCCGAGGAGGAAUCGAAAGGAAAGGAAAAGUUAGACGAAGAUGAUCAGCGUGAUGACAGUGAACAAAAGAGGAACGAUGAUGAUGUCAUUAUGGAAGAUCGGAAUCCAAAGCGACUAAAAAAUGAAGCUGCGUCAUCCUCAAUGUCAUUAAGAGGAGGCUCAGUUACAGACUCUCAGCUUAAUUCACAUUGUGUUUCAGCGAUCGCAGGGUUGCUCACUGUUGUUGAUGAUUCUGCAGUAGAGCAGCAAGCUGAGGAGGUUUUGCCAACAAUUUGCGUGGCUUCUAGCUUGGAAACGGUGAUGAACAAGGCUCCAGAAGAGAGCUCAAUGCAGAUCCCAACUACCGGACAGAACGUGACCUUGGCAAAUGAAGAGGUGGCUGCUUUGUCUUUGGCUGUACCGGAUAGUGUGGCUGCCAUCUCAGAGGAAGAAUUUACAACGACAUUGACGGAUGCGGGAGAGAUGGCACCGGCAGGUUGUGCAUCUCUCUCGGAGGCUUCGACGGGAGCAUCAACACUAGAAGGGGGCUGUAACUGUGUCAUUGGCUGCUCCUGUUGUCAUGGACGACGCAGCCCAGGAGAUCGAGUCGGACAAGGUGGGCUUGGUGGCUGCCGAUGCUCCAACUUUGUCGGUCGAUGCAACUCAGGUCUUGCCGUCCUCGUCAACUGGCACAAUGGACGCUGCUCCAAUGGUGAAUCAGGAGGUGACAGAGGUGUUAACACGGUAAUUGAGUUGGCUGCCGAUGGGGCACAACUUGAUGCAGCACGCACCAUCAUCGCUGAAGCAAAGGUGCAAGCAGAAGCAGGUGGGAAGCGUCCCUCUCAAGAAGCUAAACGUCGCUCUCGUCGACUGAUUCAUCCUACACCAACACGUCAAAGUGAACGACAGAAGGCAAUGGCAAACGGGGAUGCACCGGUGGCAAACCGAGCAGAGUUUCUAAAAAAGAUUCAUAACCUCGAAGUGGUAGCAGGUAACAAAUUCAACCCUACAAGUUCAAUUCUAUCUUUGCCUAACAAAACUCUACUUGCAAAUAUUUCUAAGCUAGGAGUUUCCCUGGGUAGAAAUGACAUAGAAGUAGAUGAGUCUAUUUAUGGUACAAAAAUUUCUGAAGUUGAUAGAUUUGUAGCUCUACAUGCUAGUUCUUUUGUUUACAAUGGUUCUUCUAGUAAUGUAGAUAAUGACAAGGAUGAGCUUUUAAAAUUAUCUUCUAUCCAGCACUUAUGUAGUGAUUGGCAAGAAGAAAGUGAGGGUAGCGCUGACGAGUCUUUUGAUUCAUGCAACGCACCUCAAAGAAAGAAAAUUUUGACAAAAGCCAAAAAUAAAGUGGUAUGUCCACCUUUGGCUAAGCCAAAAAUGAAACGCAACAAACAUAAAAAAUGAAAGGAAUUUU